RNAcentral lists this unclassified non-coding RNA (318 nucleotides) under uncultured fungus. RNAcentral's name for it is "sequence contains 5.8S rRNA gene". Lineage: Eukaryota; Fungi. The record is from RNAcentral.
GAACGCACCUUGCGCCCUUUGGCCAUUCCGAAGGGCAUGCCUGUUUGAGUAUCAUGAACACCUCAACUCUCAUGGCUUGCCAUGCUGAGCUUGGACUUUGGGGGUCUUGUCGGCCUGCGGUCGGCUCCUCUCAAAUGGAUCAGCUUGCCAGUGUUUGGUGGCGUCACAGGUGUGAUAACUAUCUGCGCUUGUGGUUUCCCAUCAGAUAACCUUCAGUGAUGGAGGUUCGCUGGGGCUCAUAAAUGUGUCUCUCCUCACCGAGGACAGCUCUCUAGACGUUUGAUCUCAAAUCAGGUAGGACUACCCGCUGAACUUAAG